This 253-nucleotide ribosomal RNA is filed under the name uncultured bacterium. Its description in RNAcentral is "partial 16S ribosomal RNA". It matches the Rfam family "Bacterial small subunit ribosomal RNA", at positions 524 to 776 of the family's 1533-position model. The record is from RNAcentral.
UACGUAGGGUGCGAGCGUUAAUCGGAAUUACUGGGCGUAAAGCGUGCGCAGGCGGUUCGUUAUGUCCGAUGUGAAAGCCCCGAGCUCAACUUGGGAAUGGCAUUGGAAACUGGCGGGCUGGAGUGUGGCAGAGUGGGGUGGAAUUCCACGUGUAGCAGUGAAAUGCGUAGAGAUGUGGAGGAACACCGAUGGCGAAGGCAGCCCCCUGGGCCAACACUGACGCUCAGGCACGAAAGCGUGGGGAGCAAACAGG